This 434-nucleotide ribosomal RNA is filed under the name uncultured Alphaproteobacteria bacterium. Its description in RNAcentral is "partial 16S ribosomal RNA". It matches the Rfam family "Bacterial small subunit ribosomal RNA", at positions 29 to 508 of the family's 1533-position model. The record is from RNAcentral. Lineage: Bacteria; Pseudomonadati; Pseudomonadota; Alphaproteobacteria.
AACGAACGCUGGCGGCAGGCCUAACACAUGCAAGUCGAACGCCCUAGCAAUAGGGAGUGGCAGACGGGUGAGUAACACGUGGGAACGUAACCUUCGGUCUGGAAUAACCCAGGGAAACUUGGGCUAAUACCGGAUACGUGCGAGAGCAGAAAGAUUUAUCGCCGAAGGAUCGGCCCRCGUCCGAUUAGCUAGUUGGUGAGGUAAAAGCUCACCAAGGCGACGAUCGGUAGCUGGUCUGAGAGGAUGAUCAGCCACACUGGGACUGAGACACGGCCCAGACUCCWMRGGGAGGCAGCAGUGGGGAAUAUUGGACAAUGGGCGAAAGCCUGAUCCAGCCAUGCCNCGUGAGUGAUGAAGGCCCUAGGGUUGUAAAGCUCUUUCGCCAGGGACGAUAAUGRCGGUMCCUGGNUWWGRNGCCCCGGCUAMCUUCGUGC